GCGCGGGGCUCCAUGGGAGACGACAGGGUGAGGUCACAGAGGAGCCUCCAAGGGGCCGGUCUACACGACAAGCGCGGGUAAAUGCCUACAGCACAAAGUGUAACACGCCAUAAGAAAGGUACAGAUAAAGCACUCUGGAUUCAGAGGCAGAAGAGACCAACUUCAACUAAGGGACUCACUGACACGACUGUCACAUGGUGCUUAAUGACCAAAGGACCAUUCUGCUGGUCAUAAUGCUAAACAUACAACUCAAGGAACUGCGCUGUAUUUUACAUUACCAUUGUCCUCAUGAUGGAAAAUGAAGUGAGUAGAGGAGAAGUUAAGGUUGCAGGGUGCCGACUAACUCUCAGAAAGACAAGAAGAGGUACGACGGUGAUGCUUGGUGACAUCACAGGCAGGAAAUGCGGUGAGUGGGCUGCAAAUAGACAGGAAAGCACAACAGAGUGAACCUUAGUAGGGAAAAGCUGGAAGGAAAUCCUGCAAGAACCCAACUCCGCAGCUCAGUCUGCACUAAUGACUUCCUUCCCUCCGGAGCAAGCACAGCCUGCCCAGCUCCAGCCACAUGAACAAACGCUUCUGGGUCUUAGUGCCACGACAUCAGCUCACCGCAAAAAGUAAAGAAUGCAGUUUCAGAGGCACCCAAUGGCUCCUAAGGAAACGCAGCCGGAAGGAUCUACAAGAUGAGGUUACUGAGAUUCAGAGGAAUCACUUGCUCAACCAAGACCACACAUAUAGAACAUGAUGGGGCUGGAAUUCAGACCUACAAGGAACUUACACCAAAGACUAUGCCCUUUUGAUGGUGAGCAACAUAGCUACGUGCCAGCCUAAGUCUAUGAAGAACCAACUACUUAAGCAUCUAUUAUUCGUCAGACUCUUUGGUAAUCACUACAACUAUGAAUAAGAGGCUCUUGGGAAAAGUACAUAAUU
Molecule: long non-coding RNA, 927 nt
Organism: Fukomys damarensis (Damara mole-rat)
Lineage: Eukaryota; Metazoa; Chordata; Mammalia; Rodentia; Bathyergidae
Exons: 5
Source: RefSeq, a predicted model, not a curated record